Molecule: ribosomal RNA, 635 nt
Filed under: uncultured bacterium
Lineage: Bacteria
Description: bacterial SSU rRNA
Rfam family: Bacterial small subunit ribosomal RNA
Source: RNAcentral
AGAGUUUGAUUAUGGCUCAGGAUAAACGCUGGCGGCAUGCCUAACACAUGCAAGUCGAACGGGGUUUAUAUAACAGAACUCUUCGGAGGGAAGUUAUAUAAACCUAGUGGCGGACGGGUGAGUAACGCGUGGGGAACCUGCCCUGUACCGGGGGACAACAGCCAGAAAUGGCUGCUAAUACCGCAUAAUCCUGCGCUGCCGCAUGGCAGCGCAGGGAAAACUCCGGUGGUACAGGAUGGUCCCGCGUCUGAUUAGCUUGUUGGCGGGGUAACGGCCCACCAAGGCAACGAUCAGUAGCCGGCUUGAGAGAGCGGACGGCCACAUUGGGACUGAGACACGGCCCAGACUCCUGCGGGAGGCAGCAGUGGGGAAUAUUGCACAAUGGGGGGAACCCUGAUGCAGCAAUGCCGCGUGGGUGAAGAAGUACCCCGGUAUGUAAAGCCCUGUCAGCAGGGAAGAAAAUGACGGUACCUGACUAAGAAGCCCCGGCUAACUACGUGCCAGCAGCCGCGGUAAUACGUAGGGGGCGAGCGUUAUCCGGAUUUACUGGGUGUAAAGGGAGCGCAGGCGGCGUGGCAAGUCAGAUGUGAAAACCCGGGGCCCAACCCCGGGACUGCAUUUGAAACUGCCAUGCU